GGAGGGUUAGCCAAGUGGUUUACGGCGCAAGUUUCGAAAACUUGUUCCCUUUUGGGAAACACAGGUUCGAAUCCUGUACCCUCCG
Molecule: transfer RNA, 85 nt
Filed under: Candidatus Levybacteria bacterium CG2_30_37_29
Lineage: Bacteria; Candidatus Levyibacteriota
Also listed under: 2 other names
Description: tRNA-Ser
Rfam family: tRNA
About the family: Transfer RNA (tRNA) molecules are approximately 80 nucleotides in length. Their secondary structure includes four short double-helical elements and three loops (D, anti-codon, and T loops).
Source: RNAcentral